UACGUAGGGUGCAAGCGUUGUCCGGAAUUAUUGGGCGUAAAGAGCUCGUAGGCGGUUUGUCGCGUCUGCUGUGAAAACUCGGGGCUUAACCCCGGGCCUGCAGUGGGUACGGGCGGGCUAGAGUUCGGUAGGGGAGACUGGAAUUCCUGGUGUAGCGGUGAAAUGCGUAGAUAUCGAGAGGAACACCUGCGGCGAAGGCGGGUUGCUGGGCCGACACUGACGCUGAGGCGCGAAAGCCAGGGGAGCGAACGGG
This 253-nucleotide ribosomal RNA is filed under the name uncultured bacterium. RNAcentral's name for it is "partial 16S ribosomal RNA". It matches the Rfam family "Bacterial small subunit ribosomal RNA", at positions 524 to 776 of the family's 1533-position model. The record is from RNAcentral.